CUCUGUCUCCCAGGCUGGAGUGCAGUGGCGUGAUCUCGGCUCACUGCAACCUCCAUCUCCCAGGUUCAAGUGAUUCUCCUACCUCAGCCUCCUGAGUAGCUGGGAUUACAGGCAUGCACCACCACACCCAGCUAAUUUUGUAUCUUUAGUAGAGAUGGGGUUUCACCAUGUUCGUCAGGCUGAUCUCGAACUCCUGACCUCA
Molecule: long non-coding RNA, 202 nt
Filed under: Homo sapiens (human)
Lineage: Eukaryota; Metazoa; Chordata; Mammalia; Primates; Hominidae
Description: HSALNT0367583
Source: RNAcentral